GAUGAAGAACGCAGCGAAAUGCGAUAAGUAGUGUGAAUUGCAGAAUUCAGUGAAUCAUCGAAUCUUUGAACGCACAUUGCGCCCCUUGGUAUCCCGAGGGGCAUGCCUGUUCGAGCGUCAUUUCACCACUCAAGCCUGGCUUGGUGUUGGGCGACGUCCCCUUUAGGGACGCGCCUCGAAACGCUCGGCGGCGUGGCACCGGCUUUAAGCGUAGCAGAAUCUUUCGCUUUGGAAGUCGGGGCCCCGCCUGCCGGAAUACCUACUCGUAAGGUUGACCUCGGAUCAGGCAGGGAUACCCGCUGAACUUAAGCAUAUCAAUAAGCGAGGA
RNAcentral lists this unclassified non-coding RNA (328 nucleotides) under soil metagenome. RNAcentral's name for it is "partial contains 5.8S ribosomal RNA, internal transcribed spacer 2, and large subunit ribosomal RNA". The stretch from base 1 to 120 matches the Rfam family "5.8S ribosomal RNA", at positions 35 to 154 of the family's 154-position model. The record is from RNAcentral.